Molecule: ribosomal RNA, 454 nt
Filed under: Oribacterium sp. oral taxon 372
Lineage: Bacteria; Bacillati; Bacillota; Clostridia; Lachnospirales; Lachnospiraceae
Description: bacterial SSU rRNA
Rfam family: Bacterial small subunit ribosomal RNA
Source: RNAcentral
GAUGAACGCUGGCGGCGUGCCUAACACAUGCAAGUCGAACGGAGUCCAGCCUUUAAGACCUUCGGGUCAAAGAGGGGAAGACUGAGUGGCGGACGGGUGAGUAACACGUGGGCAACCUGGCUCAUAGAGGGGGAUAACAGAGAGAAAUUUCUGCUAAUACCGCAUAAGCACACACUGCCGCAUGGCAGAGUGUGAAAAGAGAAUCGCUAUGAGAUGGACCCGCGUCUGAUUAGCCAGUUGGCAGGGUAAGAGCCUACCAAAGCGACGAUCAGUAGCCGAUCUGAGAGGAUGAACGGCCACAUUGGGACUGAGACACGGCCCAAACUCCUACGGGAGGCAGCAGUGGGGGAUAUUGCACAAUGGGGGGAACCCUGAUGCAGCGACGCCGCGUGAGUGAAGAAGUAUUUCGGUAUGUAAAGCUCUAUCAGCAGGGAAGAUAAUGACAGUACCUGAU